RNAcentral lists this ribosomal RNA (4614 nucleotides) under Cytospora mali. RNAcentral's name for it is "large subunit ribosomal RNA". The stretch from base 41 to 2708 matches the Rfam family "Bacterial large subunit ribosomal RNA". Lineage: Eukaryota; Fungi; Ascomycota; Sordariomycetes; Diaporthales; Cytosporaceae. The record is from RNAcentral.
GUAGAAAUAAAUAAGAAAUGUAAAUGAUAUAAUAGCUUAAAUAUAGUAUAAAAAGAGACUAUUAUGGAAAUAUAAAGCCAUGUGUUAAAGAGAAACUUGUUAUCUUAUGGAAACAUAUAAACUCUAAGAUAAAUUACUUGAUAAACGAAGCGAAUUGAAAUAUCUUAGUAGCUUCAGGAAAAGAAAUCAAAAGAGAUUUUAUGAAUAGUGUGAACGAAAAUAAAAUAGCCUAAAAAAUAAGUAAAAUGGUAGAAAAACUGUUUGAAAAAUAAAUGCCAAUUAGUCUUAUUAUUAAGACUAACUCUGGGGAACCUUCCUCAAAGGCUAAAUAUAACACAUGAGCAUCAGAGAAUUAGUACCGUAAGGGAAUUAUUGAAAUAGUAGUUUUAUAAGCAGCUCGAGUUGUUUUUCUAAAACAAGAGCGUACCUUUUGCAUAAUGGGUCACCAAGUUAACAUUAGAUGCGAGCAUGCAUGGAAGGGAGGUAAGCUAUUUUAUAUUACUAUAUCUUUGUUACGCAGGGGGGGUAUCCCUUGAUAGUAGGUAUGGUAUAUGAAAACAGAAUUAGUAGGAGCUUAACCUAUAAACUAAUCUUAGUUAGUUAGUUAGUUAUUUUUUUUUAUGCGAAACACUGAUUAAUAACUGAUUAAUAGAGAGGUGGCAUUGCGUAGUUAAACCGAUCAUAAUAUAACAGAAAAUGAUAAGUGUCUAAAGUUAGACCCGAAGCCUAGUGAUCUUACUAUAGUCAGGACUAUAAAGGUUCGAACGGGUUAUUGUUGCAAAAAUAUCCGAAGAACUAUGGUAAGCAUAGUGAAAGACAAUUCUGACUAGGAUAGCUGGUAAAGAUAAGUGUAAGCAACUGUUUUAAGCCAGUUUGUGUAAGUGAACCUUAUGCUAUUUCUGCGAAACCUAUAAUAGUAGGCAAUUUGAGUAACAUCUUAGCAGGUACAGAACUUAAUCUCAGACCAGAUGUAAAUUUUCAGUAAGAGUAGACAAUCUAUUCUUUGAAAAUACAUUAUUCAAUGGUACAUAUCGGGGGAUCGUGAAGAUUUUAUCGGUGAGUAUGUAGACUCGGAAUGGCAAAGAUGGAUCUUGAAUGAUCAGACAUAGAAUGAUAAGGUUGUAAUACAGCCUUUUUGUAGAAGUGAACCUUCUGCUAUAAAAUAAAAAUAAAAUUACUUAGUUUCAUCAUGAAACCUGGAUAAUUAAUCGUAGAUUAAUUAUCCAACUGUCUAAAUGAAUAGUUUAUAAUAUUUUGAAUAUUGUAGCUAUUUAGGGAGAAGGACCUUAGCCUUACUUAAUUUAAGUAUAAGUCUAAGGUAGAUCUGUGUAUGUCAAAAGGGAAACAGCCCAGAACAAAAGUUAAGGUUCCAAAAUUAUUGUUAAGUGAAAUUAAGAAGGUUUUAAUUUAAGUCGACAAGGAGAUGGGCUUAGAAGCAGCCAUAAUUUGAAGAUCUCGUAAUAGAGCGCUUGUUAAAUCUUUAAAAGCAUCGAAAAUUUAACGGAUCUAAACAAUAUACCGAAACUUUGUCCUCAUUUAAACAUAAUUUUUAUUUUUGUUAUUUGCAGGGGUAGCAGAACGUUGGGUUAUAUUAGAUUUGGAAUUUUUUAAAUUCAAAAAAAAAAACUCAAGUGAUAAUGGUGACAUGAGUAACGAAAAGAAACUAUUGUGAUCUAGUAGUUAAUUUUCUGUCCGAAAAUUAACUUACUAUCUUAAGUGAUAGGUUGGACAUGAUGGUACUCGCCUAAAGCUUAAGGUUAAGGGUAAAGCGGCCUCUAAGUUUAUAACCUGAAGGUUAAAACGAUGAGUAAUUCUUAUUACUAAAAAACAACAUUUCCGGAUUUAAAUUUAAGUGGGAAAUGUGCAGGAAAAAUUAGUAAUCUAUUCUUUAGUUGUACCUCAAAAUUUAUUUUUUUUUUUUAGGGAAGCUAUGUUUGUUAUAGCAGGUGAGCGGUGGCAUGCUCACUAGCUGAUCAAUUUCCUUUUUUUUUUGUUAAUGUUAUCAACAAAGAUUUUCCCUUACCGAAUAGACUCAUUUUAUUAUCGCAACAAACUAAAAAGAUGAGUAAUAAUAAAGUGACAGACCGUACCUAGAGACUGCCACACAAGUAAGCUAGUAGAGAAUACGAAGGCGUAAGAGAUAACAAUCAUAAAGGAACUCGGCAAAUUGAUACCGUAACUUCGGGAUGUUUGUCCUCCUGUUUAGAAGAUAAAAGAAUUUUAAUGUAGGUAAAUUAGAAGCUACGCUACGUUUUUAGGUAGGCUAAUUAUAAGCAUUUGAAGGUAGGCUCAUUAGUCUUGAUUAAUACAAGUAAAAAGGAAGAAGCAUAAAAGGAUGUUGUACGACUGUUUAAUUAAAACACAGCACUUUGCAAAAAGAUGAUAAAUCUAAGUAUUGAGUGUGAUACCUGCCCGGUGCCGGCUGGUUAACGGAAAUAACUAAAUUGUCGUAGGUUUGGUGUAGAAGGAAACCCCGGUUAAUGGCGGCCUUAUAAGUGAGGGUCCUAAGGUAGCGGAAUACCUUGGCCGUUAAAUGCGGUCUUUGCAUGACUACUAAUUCACCAAUAUCUAUUUUCAAUUGAAUGGUGUAACGAUACAACAGCUGUCUCUAUGAUUGACUCUGUGAAAUUGGAAUAACUGUGCAGAUACAGUUUACCUCUAGUUGGACGAGACAACAGACCCUAUGCAGCUUUACUGUUACUAAUUAUUGAGUAUAAUAAUAGCAAAUUUUAGUAGAUAAGGUAAUCGACUGUAUAAAAGUGAAAUACCUUUAUUUGCUUAUUAUAUUAUUAUGGAAUAAUAUUAUAUAUUGUCUAACAAGAUAAGUGUAAUACUUAUUUUGUCGUCAACUAUACAUAAGAAUAGAUUAGUUCCUAUCCUGUGUACGCAUAGGUAGGGAGGCGUCGAUAUCAAAAAUUGUGUUCGAUAAUAUAUAUGUUAUAAGCAUCAUACUCUAUGAAAAGGGAGAACAUUUGCUAGGAGACAGUUUAUGCGGGGCACAGACCCCAUAAAGAGUAGAUGGGAGUGUCUAAGGAUUGUGAUGUUUGUUGCAAUGUGUGCGGAGCUAAAAUUUUUCUGCGAAGCAUCACUUGCUGCAAUUAAUUUUUUGUAUAUCUCGGCCUCCGGCCGGUCUCAGCCGCUUUGCGGCGCCCGGGACUAAAUAAGAAGAUAAUUUUUGUUUGUAGUUAAAUAUAACUUCGUUGUAUUUAAUCCUUUGCUAGUACGAGACGUAUAAGGGCGUACAUAUUAUUAAAAGGGUAAGAUUUUAGCUAUAGUGAAAUUAGCUUUAGUUAAAAAAAGUGUUUGAAAGUGCAAGCGCUGCAAGCGUAUCACUCCUGAUGGUUUCGCAGAAGCCAUAUUCCCCCCCCCCAACCCUCUGCAAAAUUCGCAGAGGGUUGGGGAUUAGGUAAUAAUACUUUUUCUAGUUAUUAGUUUCUACUUAACAGUGUUAAUAAUAAUAAUGUAAACUAAUUAUCAAGUUUAACGGCUUAAUCUUGCUUUACUGUUUGAUUCACAACAAAUCUUACAGUCGCGUAAGCGGGGCAUAGGAUCACAAGACACAUUAAGGAAAGGUCUUGGAUUAUUGGAAAAGCUACGCUAGGGAUGUUUGUCAUUUGUAGGGUUAACUUUAUUUAACUAAGACGGAUAAAUAAGUUCAUAAUGAAUUAAGGUAGAAAUUUUUAGUUUAGAUCCUUUUUAUUUAAGAGCCCUUCGGCCUAGGCCCGAGGACUUGGUCCUGGUCCGAAAGGUAGGGAAAUAAUUUUGCUUUAUUAAGUUAGCACAUUUCCCUUUUUUUUGCGGUCCGGAGUAGGUAGUAUAGAGUAGGUUGGUAGGUAGUUUAAAAUGUAGGCGUAAUAUAUAUAAUAAAAAAGUGAAUACAUAGUCUGAACCAUUUUGUAAAAAAUGGAAAUUUUUUUUUGUCCUGCAUCGCCUUUGGCUAAUCCCCCACCCAGGUUGCUGAGAAGUGCGGGUUUAGCCGUCCUGGGUCGAAAGGCAGAAAAAUAUCAAACUAACGAAGUAGUGAGGGGAUAUGGACAAAAUCAAAUUUUAUGAUAACAAUUUGAACAGGCUAAUUUGCGCAAGAGUGUACAAAAUGAGUGCGCGGUUUGGCACCUCGAUGUCGGCUUAACUUAUCCUCAUGGAUGCAGGAACUAUGUAGGGUACGACUGUUCGUCGAUUAAAAAGUUACAUGAGCUGGGUUAAAUACGUCGUGAGACAGUAUGGUUUCUAUCUUCUAGAGGGAAUUAGAAUAAAAUAAGGAAUAACCUAGUACGAAAGGAACGUGGGGAAUUAAGUUAUUCUGGGUAAUACCAGGGUACACUUUAUUAACCUCUGGUUUACCUGUUGUUUAUAUGCCCAAUAUUAAUUUAUGUUUAAACGGAUAGUACGUUUAAUACAGGGAUGUUACUCUCACUUAGGUAGGUACAUAGUAUAGGCACGGCAGGAAAGCUAAGUUAGUCCAAGAUAAACACUGAAAGCAUCUAGGUGUGAAGCUUACCUUAAGAUAUUUCUUGAAUAUGCGUAGUAUACUACUACGAAACAGUAGAAUUCAUUUUACUUUAUAGGCUUUGUCUGUAAGAAUCAGGAGAUUUUGAGGAAUGAAGUACUAAUUUU